UGUAAAUAUGACUUUUGGAAGGCAAAAUAAGGAGAUGGGAAAGUGAAAGAAAAGGGAAGAGCUUUGGGGGCUCAAGGACGGUAGGAAAAUUAGUAACAGUAGGUUGAUGGACAGUUACUAGUAGUUUACAACGAGGAGAGCCCCUAGUCACAGUCGGCCCCCCAUGUACCAUGGAUUAUGGAUAGAACCCCCGAGCUCAGCUCUUUGUUUUGUUUUCUUCAUUGAUAUCACCAUGAAAUUGUAUUCAAAGUUGAUUCAAGAUAAGAUCUGUGUUUUUGAAAUUUGUAGCUUGUAACAUAGAUUGCAGCCCAUGGAAAAUUUUUAAAAUUGUCAGAUUGGAUAUGAAACUAUAUCUUCUUGUUUUUUUUC
Theobroma cacao (cacao) is the source of this 369-nucleotide non-coding RNA. The record is from RefSeq and is a predicted model, not a curated record. NCBI's taxonomy places the organism in Eukaryota, Viridiplantae, Streptophyta, Magnoliopsida, Malvales, Malvaceae.